This 322-nucleotide unclassified non-coding RNA is filed under the name uncultured fungus. RNAcentral describes it as "partial contains 5.8S ribosomal RNA and internal transcribed spacer 2". The stretch from base 1 to 133 matches the Rfam family "5.8S ribosomal RNA", at positions 22 to 154 of the family's 154-position model. The record is from RNAcentral. Lineage: Eukaryota; Fungi.
UGGUUCCAGCAUCGAUGAAGAACGCAGCGAAAUGCGAUAAAUAAUGUGAAUUGCAGAAUUCAGUGAAUCAUCGAGUCUUUGAACGCACAUUGCGCCCCUCGGUAUUCCGGGGGGCAUGCCUGUUCGAGCGUCAUUACACCCUUCAAGCGUAGCUUGGUAUUGGGCCCUCGCCCCCGUGGCGUGCCCGAAAAGCAGUGGCGGUCCGGUGCGACUUCGAGCGUAUUUGAAAUCUCUCGCUUUGAAAGUCGUCGCCGCGACUGGCCAGACAACCCCCAAUUUGCUUCUGUUAAUUGACUUCGGAUCAGGUAGGGAUACCCGCUGA